This 467-nucleotide ribosomal RNA is filed under the name uncultured bacterium. Its description in RNAcentral is "partial 16S ribosomal RNA". It matches the Rfam family "Bacterial small subunit ribosomal RNA", at positions 28 to 507 of the family's 1533-position model. The record is from RNAcentral.
GACGAACGCUGGCGGCGUGCUUAACACAUGCAAGUCGAACGGAAAGGCCUAGCUUGCUGGGUACUCGAGUGGCGAACGGGUGAGUAACACGUGGGUGAUCUGCCCCUGACUUUGGGAUAAGCCUGGGAAACUGGGUCUAAUACCGGAUAUUCAUUUUUCCUCGCAUGGGGAUUCGUGGAAAGCUUUUGCGGUUGGGGAUGGGCCCGCGGCCUAUCAGCUUGUUGGGGGGGUAAUGGCCUACCAAGGCGACGCCGGGUAGCCGACCUGAGAGGGGAGUCGGCCACGCUGGGACUGAGGGACGCCCCAGACGCGUACCGUAGGCAGCGGGGCAGAGUGUUACACAGUGAGCUCGAGCCAGAUGUGGCGACGCCGCGUGGGGGAAGACGUGCUUCGGGUGGGAAACCUAUGUGAGCUUCACCGAGGCGAUAGUGACGGUACCUGCAGAAAAAGCACCGGCUAACUACGUG